Molecule: ribosomal RNA, 1037 nt
Filed under: uncultured bacterium
Lineage: Bacteria
Description: bacterial SSU rRNA
Rfam family: Bacterial small subunit ribosomal RNA
Source: RNAcentral
CUCCUACGGGAGGCAGCAGUGGGGAAUAUUGGACAAUGGACCAAGAGUCUGAUCCAGCAAUUCUGUGUGCACGAUGAAGUUUUUCGGAAUGUAAAGUGCUUUCAGUUGGGAAGAAAAAAAUGACGGUACCAACAGAAGAAGUGACGGCUAAAUACGUGCCAGCAGCCGCGGUAAUACGUAUGUCACGAGCGUUAUCCGGAUUUAUUGGGCGUAAAGCGCGUCUAGGUGGUUAUGUAAGUCUGAUGUGAAAAUGCAGGGCUCAACUCUGUAUUGCGUUGGAAACUGUAUAACUAGAGUACUGGAGAGGUAAGCGGAACUACAAGUGUAGAGGUGAAAUUCGUAGAUAUUUGUAGGAAUGCCGAUGGGGAAGCCAGCUUACUGGACAGAUACUGACGCUAAAGCGCGAAAGCGUGGGUAGCAAACAGGAUUAGAUACCCUGGUAGUCCACGCUGUAAACGAUGAUUACUAGGUGUUGGGGGUCGAACCUCAGCGCCCAAGCAAACGCGAUAAGUAAUCCACCUGGGGAGUACGCCGGCAACGGUGAAACUCAAAGGAAUUGACGGGGGCCCGCACAAGCGGAGGAACAUGUGGUUUAAUUCGAUGAUACGCGAGGAACCUUACCCGGGCUUAAAUUGCAUUUGAAUAUAUUGGAAACAGUAUAGCCGUAAGGCAAAUGUGAAGGUGCUGCAUGGUUGUCGUCAGCUCGUGCCGUGAGGUGUCGGCUUAAGUGCCAUAACGAGCGCAACCCUUAUCUUUAGUUACUAACAGGUCAUGCUGAGGACUCUAGAGAGACUGCCGUCGUAAGAUGUGAGGAAGGUGGGGAUGACGUCAAAUCAGCACGGCCCUUACGUCCGGGGCUACACACGUGUUACAAUGGGGGGUACAGAAGGCAGCUACCUGGUGACAGGAUGCUAAUCCCAAAAGCCUCUCUCAGUUCGGAUCGAAGUCUGCAACCCGACUUCGUGAAGCUGGAUUCGCUAGUAAUCGCGCAUCAGCCAUGGCGCGGUGAAUACGUUCCCGGGCCUUGUACACACCGC